This 254-nucleotide ribosomal RNA is filed under the name uncultured organism. Its description in RNAcentral is "partial 16S ribosomal RNA". It matches the Rfam family "Bacterial small subunit ribosomal RNA", at positions 524 to 776 of the family's 1533-position model. The record is from RNAcentral.
UACGUAGGGAGCAAGCGUUGUCCGGAUUUAUUGGGCGUAAAGAGCUCGUAGGCGGCUUGGCAAGUCGGAUGUGAAACCCCCAGGCUCAACCUGGGGCCGCCAUUCGAUACUGCUAUGGCUUGAGUUCGGUAGGGGAUUGUGGAAUUCCCGGUGUAGCGGUGAAAUGCGCAGAUAUCGGGAGGAACACCAACGGCGAAGGCAGCAAUCUGGGCCGAUACUGACGCUGAGGAGCGAAAGCGUGGGUAGCAAACAGG